GAACUUAAGCAUAUCAAUAAGCGGAGGAAAAGAAACUAACAAGGAUUCCCUCAGUAACUGCGAGUGAAGUGGGAAAAGCUCAAAUUUGAAAUCUGGCAGCUCUUUCAGGUUGUCCGAGUUGUAAUCUAGAGAAGCGUUACCUGUGUUGGACCGUGUAAAAGUCUUCUGGAAUGGAGCAUCAUAGAGGGUGAGAAUCCCGUCUUUGACAUGGACUACCAGCAUGCCAAGGUGCACUCUCAAAGAGUCGAGUUGUUUGGGAAUGCAGCUCAAAAUGGGUGGUAAAUGCCAUCUAAAGCUAAAUAUUGGCGAGAGACCGAUAGCGAACAAGUACCGUGAGGGAAAGAUGAAAAGAACUUUGGAAAGAGAGUUAAACAGUACGUGAAAUUGCUGAAAGGGAAACGCUUAAAGUCAGUCGCAUUAGCUGGAAAUCAGGCUUGCUUUUGCAAGGUGCACUUUCUAGUUGAUGGGUCAGCAUCAAUUUUAAUCGUUGGAUAAAGUCAUUGGGAAUGUGGCAUCUUUGGAUGUGUUAUAGCCCAGUGUUGAAUACAGCGGUCAGGAUUGAGGAAUUCAGCAUGCCUCUAGGGGCCAGGUUUCGACCAUGUUCAUGCUUAGGAUGCUGGCAUAAUGGCUUUAAUCGACCCGUCUUGAAACACGGACCAAGGAGUCUAACAUGCCUGCGAGUGUUUGGGUGAAAAACCCAUACGCACAAUGAAAGUGAAAGUUGAGAUCCUUAGGGAGCAUUGACGCCCGGACCAGACCUUCUGUGACGGGUCCGCGGUAGAGCAUGUAUGUUGGGACCCGAAA
RNAcentral lists this ribosomal RNA (804 nucleotides) under uncultured fungus. Its description in RNAcentral is "eukaryotic LSU rRNA". It matches the Rfam family "Eukaryotic large subunit ribosomal RNA", at positions 30 to 821 of the family's 3401-position model. The record is from RNAcentral. Lineage: Eukaryota; Fungi.